CUCCCUCCUGCCCUACCCCACCAGGUGCAGAGCACGGUGUUCCUCCAAUGCCUUUGGCCGGUGUCUUCCUCCGUCCUCUUCUUGCGCCUGCUGUUCUGGUUCUGAUUCUGUCGUGAGCUCGUCCUGGUCACUCCUCUCCGAACCCUCCUGGUGUGGACCUGGCUGCAGAACUCUCGGCAGGCGCUUGCUGGUCGGUUUGUGCUGCAUCUGCACGGACACCUUUAAACAGGAAUACAGUGGCACGGGGAUGCUUCCUCAGCAGACUCCAUCAGCCACAGGAUUGCCCAGGCUUUCCAAUCCACCUUCCUCAGCCUCCCAGAGUGUUGGGAUUCCUUGUCAAUGUGCCUGGCCUCCACAAAACGUGUGUACGAGUGACACUGUCACGGGAGCAGUGCAGACGAGCACACCACGCAGAGGCAUAGAGAGGAGGCCACAGUCUGGUGGGACAGGAAGCCAACCACACAGCCCCAGCCUGGAAAUGAUGCCACCCAAAGUCUGUAGGGAACAGUGAGGAGAGCUGCUCUGACAUGACGCUGUGGCCCUGGGGGAGGCAGCAUCUUAGCUUGGUUUGGAGCGUGGAUCUGAGUCCGGGUAGAGGUUGGGGAAUAUUCCAGAGAGCAAAGAGAAAGCAGCUUGAAUCAAUCGCAGAGGAGGCAGCACAUGGGGGAAGCAGCAAGCUCUUCAGUUUUAGCUUGCAAGUCAUUUUGAGGAAGAGAAAUGUGAAAGAAUAUCUACAUGGAGGCAGGAAAAAAGUUACAGACAAAAGCCGAGUGCUUAUGCACCUGUAACUCCAGCUCUCAGGAGACUGAGGCAGGAGGAUUGCAAGUUCAGGCCAGAGUGGGCUACUCUGAGAUCCUGUUGCAAAACACAAAACAAGACAAAUCAACGUAAACAAAAACCAGAACAAGACAAAAGUUGAAGACAAGAUCACUUUGGAGGCUCAGUUUAAAGUGACUCUUGUUAAGAAAAUAAUGAAAGAAGAUGGUAUAAAGCAUUCUGCCAGGGUAAGGGUUGGGAACGGAAAUAAAGCUCUCACAUGGGCAGCACCUUGUAUUUGAAAUCGGUGUAAGGAUGAAGAAGACAAUGCUGAGCUGGCUCCCUGGCAGUUACUUACUUACUUUGCAGCCCUGGAGAUUGAACCCAGCGUGUUCACACUGAGCUCCAUCCCCAGCCUUUAAACUUUUUUAUUUUGAGGCAGAGUCUUGCUGAGUUGCCCAGGCUGGGCCUGAACGCUCGGUCCUUCUGCCUCGGCCUCCCAGAAUGCUGGGAUGACAAGCGUUCAGCACGUAUUCCACUUAUUUUUCAUUUUUAAAUGAUGCCCGUCACUGUUCUCAUAGUCACAUACAGCCUAGGUCUGCAACAGCAGGAGCUGAAAAGCGCUUGACCAUGCGACAGGUGGUGGGAGCGUCGGAGUGGGCAGAGCGGGCUGUGGG
RNAcentral lists this long non-coding RNA (1433 nucleotides) under Heterocephalus glaber (naked mole-rat). Its description in RNAcentral is "lncRNA (ENSHGLG00000045370.1)". The record is from RNAcentral. Lineage: Eukaryota; Metazoa; Chordata; Mammalia; Rodentia; Bathyergidae.